GACGUAGGGGGCAAGCGUUGUCCGGAAUCACUGGGCGUAAAGGGCGCGUAGGCGGUUACUCAAGUCCGAUGUGAAAAGUCACGGCUCAACUGUGAUCGUGCAUCGGAUACUGGGUUGACUUGAGGUCGGUAGAGGCAAGUGGAACUAGCGGUGUAGCGGUGAAAUGCACAGAUAUCGCUAGGAACGCCGGUGGCGAAGGCGACUUGCUGGGCCGCACCUGACGCUGAGGCGCGAAAGCUAGGGGAGCGAACCGG
This 254-nucleotide ribosomal RNA is filed under the name uncultured bacterium. RNAcentral describes it as "partial 16S ribosomal RNA". It matches the Rfam family "Bacterial small subunit ribosomal RNA", at positions 524 to 776 of the family's 1533-position model. The record is from RNAcentral.